GAUGAACGCUGGCGGCGUGCCUAAUACAUGCAAGUCGAGCGAACAGAUAAGGAGCUUGCUCCUUUGACGUUAGCGGCGGACGGGUGAGUAACACGUGGAUAUCCUACCUAUAAGACUGGGAUAACUUCGGGAAACCGGAGCUAAUACCGGAUAACAUAUUGAACCGCAUGGUUCAAUAGUGAAAGGCGGCUUUGCUGUCACUUAUAGAUGGAUCCGCGCCGUAUUAGCUAGUUGGUAAGGUAACGGCUUACCAAGGCAACGAUACGUAGCCGACCUGAGAGGGUGAUCGGCCACACUGGAACUGAGACACGGUCCAGACUCCUACGGGAGGCAGCAGUAGGGAAUCUUCCGCAAUGGGCGAAAGCCUGACGGAGCAACGCCGCGUGAGUGAUGAAGGUCUUCGGAUCGUAAAACUCUGUUAUCAGGGAAGAACAAAUGUGUAAGUAACUGUGCACAUCUUGACGGUACCUGAUCAGAAAGCCACGGCUAACUACGUG
This 497-nucleotide ribosomal RNA is filed under the name uncultured bacterium. RNAcentral's name for it is "partial 16S ribosomal RNA". It matches the Rfam family "Bacterial small subunit ribosomal RNA", at positions 28 to 507 of the family's 1533-position model. The record is from RNAcentral.